GAGUACUUUCCGUCGGCCAGCGUCGUUGAUGGGUUGGGCGCGGCUCUCUUGGCUGCGUGUGAAAUCAACAACAUCAAGGCAACGCUUUGUGUGACAUGGCCUCAAUUUGGUGCUUCAGUGCUGUCCCUGAUCAGAUCCCUCAUCUUUCCUGCGUUGGAUUUGGAUUUGAGCAUCAGCACUGGGGUUGAUGAUUAUGUGAUUUUAGGACAAGAUAAGGAUCACCAUCAACCUUUUGAUUCUGAUUUGUAUACUUGAUGUUAAAAACUUGUUUUGGGUUCAAUUUCAAGUUCUUGAUCGUUUGAAUGUUUGAAA
Molecule: long non-coding RNA, 312 nt
Filed under: Prunus persica (peach)
Lineage: Eukaryota; Viridiplantae; Streptophyta; Magnoliopsida; Rosales; Rosaceae
Description: long non-coding RNA (PPER_LNC001316)
Source: RNAcentral